UACGAAGGGGGCUAGCGUUGUUCGGAAUUACUGGGCGUAAAGCGCACGUAGGCGGUUCGUUAAGUCGGAUGUGAAAGCCCUCGGCUCAACUGAGGAAGUGCACCCGAAACUGGCGAGCUUGAGUACGAAAGAGGAUCGCGGAAUUCCCGGUGUAGAGGUGAAAUUCGUAGAUAUCGGGAGGAACACCGGUGGCGAAGGCGGGUCUCUGGGCCGAUACUGACGCUGAGGAGCGAAAGCGUGGGGAGCGAACAGG
Molecule: ribosomal RNA, 253 nt
Filed under: uncultured bacterium
Lineage: Bacteria
Description: partial 16S ribosomal RNA
Rfam family: Bacterial small subunit ribosomal RNA
Source: RNAcentral